GAUGAACGCUGGCGGCGUACCUAAUACAUGCAAGUCGAGCGAACAGACGAGGAGCUUGCUCCUCUGACGUUAGCGGCGGACGGGUGAGUAACACGUGGAUAACCUACCUAUAAGACUGGGAUAACUUCGGGAAACCGGAGCUAAUACCGGAUAAUAUAUUGAACCGCAUGGUUCAAUAGUGAAAGACGGUUUUGCUGUCACUUAAAGAUGGAUCCGCGCCGCAUUAGCUAGUUGGUAAGGUAACGGCUUACCAAGGCGACGAUGCGUAGCCGACCUGAGAGGGUGAUCGGCCACACUGGAACUGAGACACGGUCCAGACUCCUACGGGAGGCAGCAGUAGGGAAUCUUCCGCAAUGGGCGAAAGCCUGACGGAGCAACGCCGCGUGAGUGAUGAAGGUCUUCGGAUCGUAAAACUCUGUUAUUAGGGAAGAACAAAUGUGUAAGUAACUAUGCACGUCUUGACGGUACCUAAUCAGAAAGCCACGGCUAACUACGUG
RNAcentral lists this ribosomal RNA (497 nucleotides) under uncultured bacterium. RNAcentral describes it as "partial 16S ribosomal RNA". It matches the Rfam family "Bacterial small subunit ribosomal RNA", at positions 28 to 507 of the family's 1533-position model. The record is from RNAcentral.